Molecule: ribosomal RNA, 1482 nt
Filed under: uncultured Bordetella sp.
Lineage: Bacteria; Pseudomonadati; Pseudomonadota; Betaproteobacteria; Burkholderiales; Alcaligenaceae
Description: partial 16S-23S ribosomal RNA intergenic spacer
Rfam family: Bacterial small subunit ribosomal RNA
Source: RNAcentral
GUUUGAUUCUGGCUCAGAUUGAACGCUGGCGGGAUGCUUUACACAUGCAAGUCGAACGGCAGCGGACUUCGGUCUGGUGGCGGAUGGCGAACGUUGAGUAAUGUAUCAGACGUGCCUAGUAGCGGGGAACGGCUGCAGAAAGCGCGUAGCUAAUACCAUGCAUACGCUCGAAGGAAAGCGGGGGACCUUCCCGGGCCUCGCACUAUUAGAGCAGCCGAUAUCUGGAUAGCUAGUUGGUGAGGCAACGGCUCCGCAAGGCGACGAUCCGUAGCUGGUUUGAGAGGACGACCAGCCCUGGGACUGAGACACGGUCAGACUGCUCACCACGGAGAGCAGCAGUGGGGAAUUUUGGACAAUGGAAACCUGAUCCAGCCAUCCGCGUGUGCGAUGAAGGCCUUCGGGUUGUAAAGCUUUUUGGCAGGAAAGAAACGGCACGGGAUAAUACCCCGUGCAACCUUGCUGGUACGCACAGAAUAAGCACCGGCUAACUACGUGCCAGCAGCCGCGAUAUCACGUAAGUGCAAGCGUUAAUCGGAAUUACUGGGCGUAAAGCGUGCGCAGGCGGUUCGGAAGAAAGAUGUGAAAUCCCAGAGCUUAACUUUGGAACUGCAUUUUUAACUACCGGGCUACAGAGUGUGUCAGGAGGAGGUGGAAUUUCGCGUGUAGCAGUGAAAUGCGUAGAUAUGCGGAGAACACCGAUGGCGAAGGCAGCUCUGGGAUAACACUGACGCUCAUGCACGAAAAGCGUAGGGGAGCAAACAGGAUUAGAUACCCUGGUAGUCCACGCCUAUAAGCUUGAUAUCAACUAGCUGUUGGGGCCUUCGGGCCUUUGACACAGCCGCAUGCUGCGACAAGGUCAGCCGCCUGGGGGAUACGGUCGCAAGAUUAAAGCUCAAGAAAAUUGACGGGGACCCGCUACAAGCGGUGGAUGAUGUGGAUUAAUUCGAUGCAACGCGAAAAACCUUACCUACCCUUGACAUGUCUGGAAUCCGAAGAAUUUGGGAGUGCUCGCAAGAAGAACCCGGAACACAGGUGCUGCGCUGGCUGUCGUCAGCUCGUGUCGUGAGAUGUUGGGUUAAGUCCGCAACGAGCGCAACCCUUGUCAUUAGUUGCUACGAAGGGCACUCUAAUGAGACUGCCGGUGACAAACCGGAGGAAGAGGAACGGGGAUGACGCCAAGUCCUCAUGGCCCUUAUGGGUAGGGCUUCACACGUCAUACAAUGGUCAGGACAGAGGGUCGCCAACCCGCAGGGGGGAACUGUAAUCCCGAAACCCGAUCGUAGAUCAGAUCAGUCUGCAACUCGACUGCGUGAAGUCAGAAUCGCUAGUAAUCGCGGAUAGCAUGUCGCGGUGAAUACGUUCCCGGGUCUUGUACACACCGCCCGUCUACACCAUGGGAGUGGGUUUUACCAAGUAGUUAGCCUAACCGUAAGGAGGGCGAUUACCACGGUAGGAUUCAUGACUGGGGUGAAGUCGUAACAA